AUUGAACGCUGGCGGCAUGCUUUACACAUGCAAGUCGAACGGCAGCGCGGGCUUCGGCCUGGCGGCGAGUGGCGAACGGGUGAGUAAUGCAUCGGAACGUGCCCAGUAGUGGGGGAUAGCCCGGCGAAAGCCGGAUUAAUACCGCAUACGACCUGAGGGUGAAAGCGGGGGACCGAAAGGCCUCGCGCUAUUGGCGCGGCCGAUGUCGGAUUAGCUAGUUGGUGGGGUAAAGGCUUACCAAGGCGACGAUCCGUAGCUGGUCUGAAAGGACGACCAGCCACACUGGGACUGAGACACGGCCCAGACUCCUACGGGAGGCAGCAGUGGGGAAUUUUGGACAAUGGGGGCAACCCUGAUCCAGCCAUGCCGCGUGCGGGAAGAAGGCCUUCGGGUUGUAAACCGCUUUUGUUCGGGAAGAAAUCCUCUGGGCUAAUACCCCGGGGGGAUGACGGUACCGGAAGAAUAAGCACCGGCUAACUACGUG
RNAcentral lists this ribosomal RNA (484 nucleotides) under uncultured bacterium. Its description in RNAcentral is "partial 16S ribosomal RNA". It matches the Rfam family "Bacterial small subunit ribosomal RNA", at positions 28 to 507 of the family's 1533-position model. The record is from RNAcentral.